This 578-nucleotide ribosomal RNA is filed under the name uncultured bacterium. Its description in RNAcentral is "bacterial SSU rRNA". It matches the Rfam family "Bacterial small subunit ribosomal RNA", at positions 28 to 638 of the family's 1533-position model. The record is from RNAcentral.
AAUCAACGCUGGCGGCGUGCCUAACACAUGCAAGUCGCACGAGAAAGUGGAGCAAUCCAUGAGUAAAGUGGCGUACGGGUGAGUAACACGUGAAUUAUCUACCUUCGAGUGUGGAAUAACUGAGAGAAAUCUUAGCUAAUACCUCAUAAUACCUACGGGUCAAAGCAGCAAUGCGCUUGAAGAGGAGUUCGCGGCAGAUUAGUUAGUUGGCGGGGUAAUGGCCCACCAAGACGAUGAUCUGUAUCCGGCCUGAGAGGGCGCACGGACACACUGGAACUGAAACACGGUCCAGACUCCUACGGGAGGCAGCAGUGGGGAAUUUUGCGCAAUGGGGGAAACCCUGACGCAGCAACGCCGCGUGGAGGAUGAAAUCCCUUGGGAUGUAAACUCCUUUCGAUAGGGAAGAUAAUGACGGUACCUAUAGAAGAAGCCCCGGCUAACUUCGUGCCAGCAGCCGCGGUAAUACGAGGGGGGCAAGCGUUGUUCGGAAUUAUUGGGCGUAAAGGGUGCGUAGGCGGUUUGACAAGUCUUGUGUGAAAUCUAUGGGCUCAACCCAUAGUCUGCACAGGAAACUGUCG